UCUGGUUGAUCCUGCCAGUAGUUAUAUGCUUGUCUCAAAGAUUAAGCCAUGCAUGUCUAAGUACACACGCAUUAAAAGUGAAACCGCAAAAGGCUCAUUAUAUCAGUUAUGGUUCCUUAGAUCGUUAACAGUUACUUGGAUAACUGUGGUAAUUCUAGAGCUAAUACAUGCAAUUAAAACAUGAACCUUAUGGGACAUGUGCUUUUAUUAGGCUAAAACCAAGCGAUCGCAAGAUCGUUAUAUUGGUUGAACUCUAGAUAACAUGCAGAUCGUAUGGUCUUGUACCGACGACAGAUCUUUCAAAUGUCUGCCCUAUCAACUUUUGAUGGUAGUAUCUAGGACUACCAUGGUUGCAACGGGUAACGGGGAAUCAGGGUUCGAUUCCGGAGAGGGAGCCUGAGAAACGGCUACCACAUCUAAGGAAGGCAGCAGGCGCGUAAAUUACCCACUCCCAGCUCGGGGAGGUAGUGACGAAAAAUAACAAUACAGGACUCAUAUCCGAGGCCCUGUAAUUGGAAUGAGUACACUUUAAAUCCUUUAACAAGGACCAAUUGGAGGGCAAGUCUGGUGCCAGCAGCCGCGGUAAUUCCAGCUCCAAUAGCGUAUAUUAAAGUUGUUGCGGUUAAAACGUUCGUAGUUGAACUUGUGCUUCAUACGGGUAGUACAACAUACAAUUGUAGUUAGUACUAUACCUUUAUGUAUGUAAGCGUAUUACCGGUGGAGUUCUUAUAUAUGUUUAAAUACUUGUAUUUUUUCAUAUGUUCCUCCUAUUUAAAAACCUGCAUUAGUGCUCUUAAACGAGUGUUAUUGUGGGCCGGUACAAUUACUUUGAACAAAUUAGAGUGCUUAAAGCAGGCUUCAAAUGCCUGAAUAUUCUGUGCAUGGGAUAAUGAAAUAAGACCUCUGUUCUGCUUUCAUUGGUUUUCAGAUCAAGAGGUAAUGAUUAAUAGAAGCAGUUUGGGGGCAUUAGUAUUACGACGC
RNAcentral lists this ribosomal RNA (981 nucleotides) under Drosophila ananassae. RNAcentral's name for it is "SSU rRNA". It matches the Rfam family "Eukaryotic small subunit ribosomal RNA", at positions 1 to 905 of the family's 1831-position model. Lineage: Eukaryota; Metazoa; Arthropoda; Insecta; Diptera; Drosophilidae. The record is from RNAcentral.